GUGACCACAAAAAACUAACUCUCCUCCGAACACAACACAACAAAGCUCUCACUUUUUAUCAGUUAUCAAAAUCCAACAUAAAACCUCCAUCAAAUCAAACAAUAGAUCUCAUUUACAAAAUCUUUACAAGAAACCCUCUUAAAACGAUCGCCCAAAAAAGUUAAAAAUCAACUCUUUUUUGAUCCAUCGAUACGGAAAAGAGAAAGAAAAGGGCACAAGAUUUAAAGAGAGAUAAAAAGGAAAAAAAAUGCAAAGCGGGGGAUCGAGUAACAAGCUAUCCAGUAUGAUUACUAGGACCAGGAUAUCAUCUAUAUUGCUUUCAAUGUUUACGUAGCUGGCAGGUUAGUGUUCUUAGAUUUUGUAUAUUGACAAUUGUGUUUGAUUCACUGCUAUGUGAUUUUUUUUUUUUGGUAAAAAAAUGAAUUUUUUAACGUUCAAUUUGGUAAAAAUGUGAUUUUUUUUUAUCUGGGCUGGUGAUAGAUUGUGGCAGGAUGCUCAGACCAGAGUUCGUUUGAUUAAAGAGCCGGAUAGAAUCACUGGUCAUGUGAUUUUUUUUUUUUGCUUUUUAAAUUAUUGUCUGGGUGAUUUUGGUUUAGAAAGUUACCUGUCUAAAUGCGGUUAAUCACAAAUUUGAAUUUCACUAGUCAUUUGGUGUAUAUUGUAUAUGACUAUUAAGUGGUUGAUUGAUGUUUAGGGCAAAUCUGCUAUAUCAGUGGAUGAUACUCUGGAAAUCAUAGCAUGCAGGAAAAUAUAAUCCCUGUUGAACAUUCCCAUAAUGCAAUUCAGUAAAGCAUGGAUGGGAACUGGUAAACUAUUUCUUUCUUUCUAUUCCUUGCCUCCUUUUUUCCUAUGUGCAAGAUUGGCUUUGUCCAGGUGUUUUUUUUUUUUUUUGGUGCAUAAACGGCAUUGUUGUAUUCAUUAUAGUUCAUUUGUCCAGUAUUUAGAGUUCCAGAUGCUGAACAGGAUUAAUCACAGGACAUUAACAUAAAUAAAAGAUUUGUUGUAUAGUUACGGGAAUUUAAGGUUAUUAUGUUAAGGUAGAAGUUAGUUUUUAAAGGGAACCCUAAGGAUUACCAGCACAGCACCAUGCUGCAAAAUAUGCUCAUUUGAUAUAGUUAAAAGGUGUAACUUUUCUUUAGGGAAGAGAAGUUUUAUAUCACAUUCAAACUCAUUUAAUAUAUGUUAAUGUUGACAAAUAUUACAUCAAACUGUUAAAAUUUUUAGACAUAAAGUUAUAUGGCGCCAAAGGUAGGGCAGACAAGUGAGUACUCGUUGCUGUUGCUAAAAUGCUUGCAAUGGAGGUGUCAAGUUGUUUACCAGAUUGGAAAGCAAGCUCUGUGGAAACACUAAUUAGAUGCUUUUGUUAGUUUUGUAGGAAGUGUGUUAAGGAAUAUUAAUGGAUAAUUUUACUGUCAUUCAAGAGAAUUACCUAACAAUCUCACACUUCAUGGGCAUUUUCAGACUGAUGCAACAAGCAUUGGUGCAUAAUAUGUCUGAAUUUGUAAAGAAUUGCUCUAGCAUGAUGUAUUUAAUAGUCUACUGGUUAGAUCCUCAGGUUCAGCUAACUCAACCUAAUGAAGGAAAAAACAUUCCUCUUCUUUUUUUGUUCUCUCUAGCCGGGCUAUGCUAAAGGGAUACUACACAUCUACUUGUUGAAAAUCUGUACAAGGCUUCUAGAAAUUGGUGAAAAUUAGUAUAAGACUUUUAGAAAUUUGGUGCCGUCAUUGACAUUUUGAUUUGGUAAUUGCUGACUAUUGACAAAAUGAAAUGGAGGUGGAUGAGUUAGGUGGCUGCCAAACCUAACUUGUGGAAUUUGUUAGCUAACAAUUGGCUAUAAAAAGGGAGCCAUGCAAAUGAGUUUUGCAUCUCAUUUUGAGUGCAUCCGAGAGUUUAUAAAAGAGAGAAAAUAAGUUUCUCUUUAUAAUAAUUUGUUUUCAAUAUUUAUAUAUGAGAGUGUGUGUAAUAAAUUGGGUCUUGGGUAGUGAUGAAUUUAUCUCAAAAUACUUGUAAUUCUCCCUGUAUAGUGAAAAAAUUAUCCUUUUUGUAAGAGUCUUGUUCACCCUCUUUGUCACUCCAUUUUGUUGGGGAGUGUAUGCCACCGUGAACUGCCUCUGAAUACUUUCUUGCUUACAGAAAGCAAGAAACUCGCCGUCUGUAUACUCUCCACCAUUAUUUGUCCUCAACCACUUGAUCUUUUCCUGGAUUCAAGUUCUACCCGCGUUUUGUAUUGUUUGAAUACUGGAAACACAUCUGACUUUUUCUUGAUUGGAUACACUCAACGUUUCCUAGAAUAAUCAUUAAUAAAAGUCACCAAGUACUUUACUCCUCUCAUGGAUAUAUCCGGUGAUUCUCAAACAUCAGAAUGAACCAAGUCUAUAAUACAUUUACUUCUGGAAACAGAUCUGCUAAAUUUUAAUCUAUUCUGCUUACUUGUAAUACAAUGCUCACUGAAUGGUAAACUUAGUGAUUUGAGUCCCGGAAGUAAGUUCCGCUCAGAGAGAAUUUUCAAACCUUAUUCCACAUGUGGCCAAGUUUGAGAUGUCUUAUCAUCGUCGACUCUUCUCCAUUUAAUGCGACACACGCAUCAGUUUUCCUGUAGUGUUUCAUCUUUAAGCAUGAAUAGCUUCGCACCGAUCUUUUCUGCCUUCAUUAAUACAAGCGCGUCUUUAACAAUCUUCAUGAUCUCAUUUUCUACAUGAGUUUUAUACCAACGACUAUCCAUUUGUCCUAAAGACAAUAAAUUCUUCCUCAAGCCUUUGACAUGUCGUACCUCCUCAAUUGUGCGAAUUGUACCAUCAAACAUUUUUAUAUUGGUUGUACUAAUACCAUCGAUCUCUAAGGCAUAAUCAUCACCCAUAUAUACAGAUCCUCCUGAGAUAGAUUUAAUGUGUAGAACCAUUCUCUCCGAAAGGUCAUGUGCCAGGUGGCUCCUGAGUAUAUAAGUCAGACGUCAGAUAACCGUUUUCUGCCUUCUAAACCAGUUGUUGCCUCGCUGUAGAUAAUUUCGCCAUCAUCCGAGGUACUUGCUACACACCUCUGAGCAUUUGAUGACUCAGGUUCUUUGCCCUCUCAUCUCUUCUGGCUGUUCCAACACUCUUUCUUGACGUGCCCUUUUUUGCCACAGUUGUAGCAUUUAACAUUUUUCUUACUUUUGGAUUUUGAUCUACCAUGAUUGUGACUCCCAUUGGGGCCACGUUCCGUUGAUCUCCCUCUCGUCACUGAUAACGCUUCUGCCUGCUGCGAACUUACCAGUAUGUCUUCCUUGUUUUUUCGCCUACUUUCCUCAUUUAAUACGGAGGUUGCAACAUCGUCGAAAAUUAGACUGUUCAUUGAAUUGUUGUUCGUCAGGUUAAUGAUGAGUUAAUCAUAUGAAUCUAGUAGACUUUGAAGUAGAAGUUCCGCAUGUUCAUUUUCCUCUAUAUUAUGACCCAACGUUGUGAGUUGUGAAAAUAUAGUUUUCAAGGUGUUGACGUAGUCAGUUUAAGGAUGGCAAAAACCGGGUCCGGGUCCGGGUCUGGCCUUUCCGGUUCCGGACCCGGAUGCCAAUUCUCCUUCCCGGAUCCGGAUAUAAACCCGCAUUUUCUUUCUCCGGGUCCGGUACGGAUUCAACCCGGAAAAAUUCGGGUUUCCGGAUUGCGGGUUUUGAACCCGGAAACUUGGAGGCUGGAAUAAUAAAGCCUUUGUGCAUGCCCCUUUUGACUCUGUACAAGAGUGGAUUAGCGGUUUAUUUGAGGUGUUGGUUGAGACACCGGCGAGUCCAAGAGGCAGUAGCCAUGAAAGCAGUGAGCAAGGUUUGAGAUCCAGCAUCCACGAACAAGAGAGAGAUGAGAUCGAGCGCCAACAAGAGUAGAUUAGCAGUUUCUUUAAGGUGUCGGUUGAGGCACCAGCGAAUCGAGGAGGUGGCAGCCAUGAGAGUAGCGAGCAAGGUUUGAGAUCCAGUAUCCAAGAACAAGAGAGAAAUGAGAUCGAAUUUGAUGAGAGAUGAGAGAUAAGGUUGAAUUUGAUGGUGCCAAAGAUUGUUUGUUGCUUUUGAUGAUGAUCGAUGAUGAAUUGACAAUGAUUUAAAUUGAUGUUGAGGAUGAUAUUGAUUGUUAUUAUUGUUGAUAAUGAAUUGACGAUGGGUGGAUGAUGAUGAAUUGAAUUGAUGUUGAGGAAGAGGAAAAUAAAGGUGGCGGUUGGGGUGGGGAUUUAGGGUUUCUUUUCGUUUCUUUCCUUUUUUUUUUUUUACUUUUGGCUUUUAUAUUUAUAUUUAAUAAUAAAAAUUAAUUAAUUAAUUAAUUAUUAAUAUUUUAGUGCGCGUCCGGGUUUUCGGAAUCCGGGUUCGGUUAAACCCGCAACCGGACCCGCAUGUAUCUGGGUUUGAAAAAAUGCUACCCGGAUCCUCAUUUUUAUGCACCCGGGGUGGGUUUAACCCGGACCGGAUCGUCCGGGUUUAUCCGGGUCCGGGCCGGGUCCUGAAAAAUUUACCAUCCCUAAGUUAGUUACUAAUAUAGAUUCCACCAUUCGAAGGGUAUAGAGUUUUCUUUUUAAGAAGAUCUUGUUGUGCAGCGUUUUGGCCUCUUACAAUUUUGUAAGAGUAUCCCAUACUUUCUUUGCUAUCUUUUUCUCUGUCACAUUAGAUAAUACUCUAUCUGCAAGUGCCAAGUGUAGAUAAAAAAUGGUGUUGCCGUCUAUCUCGUUCUAUUUGUCAUCAAUUAUCUCUAUGGGCCUUUCUCCAAUUGCUGCCAAGCAAUUAUUUUUCCUCAAUACAACUUUUAUCUUCAUUUUCCACAACGAAAAAUUAUUUCCGUUGAACUUCUCAAUUUCGUAUUUUCCCGCCAUCGCUUUUCACCACAAAUUAACUUUGCUAGGAUCAGCUUCCACCGUUUCACGUGAACAGUAAUCGUAUACGGGAACAGUACUGUAUACGUGAAUAGUACUUUUACCUUAACAGUACCACAGACUCCAAAAAAUACAACCAGUUGCUUUGAUACCACUAUUAAGAAUUUGAUGGGUAAAGCAGACCACAGCUAACAUGAAANNNNNNNNNNNNNNNNNNNNNNNNNNNNNNNNNNNNNNNNNNNNNNNNNNNNNNNNNNNNNNNNNNNNNNNNNNNNNNNNNNNNNNNNNNNNNNNNNNNNUCGUCACACAAGAGGACACCGUAGUUUACGUGGUUUGACUUUUUAGCCUAAGUUCACAGGUAAAGAUAAAAAGAUAAAAUUUUCACUAUAUAGGAAGAAUUACAAGUAUUUUGAGAUAAAUUCCUCACUAUUCAAAACACAAUUUGUUACACCCACACUCUCAUAUAUAAAUAUUGAAAACAAAUGCUUACAAAGAGAAACUUAUUUUUCUCUCUUUUAUAAGCUCUUGGAUGCACUCAAAAUGGGAUGCAAAACUCAUUUGCAUGGCUCCCAUUUUAUAGCCAAUUGUUGGCUAACAAAUUCCACAAGUUAGAUUUGGCAACCACCUAACUUAUCCACCUCCAUUUCAUUUUGUCCAUAGUCGGCAAUUACUAAAUCAAAAUGUCAAUGACGGCACCAAAUUUCUAAAAGUCUUGCACUGAUUUUCAACAAUUUCUAGAAGUCUUGUACUAAUUUUCAACAAUUCUCCCACUUGGAGAUUUGAUGAUUUUCAACAAUUCUCCCACAAGUUAGGUGGCUACCAAACCUAACUUGUGUAAUUUGUUAGCCAACAAUUGGCUUUAAAAGGGAAGCCAUGCAAAUGAGUUUUGCAUCUCAUUUUGAGUGCAUCCGAGAGCUUAUAAAAGAGAAAAAAAUAAGUUUCUCUUUAUAAGCAUUUGUUUUCAAUAUUUAUAUAUGAGAGUGUGGAUGUAAUAAAUUGGGUUUUGGGUAGUGAGGAAUUUAUCUCAAAAUAUUUAUAAUUCUCCCUAUAUAGUAAAAAAAUUAUCCUUUUUAUUUUUACAUGUGGACGUAGGCUAAAGAUCGAACCACAUAAACUACGGUGUCCUGUUGUAUGCUUAUUCUUCAUUUUUCUUCCAAUUUCAUUUUAGUUGUGGCCCUACUUCACUCAUCAAUUUCCUAACACUACUUUCACUUUUAAUUUCUCUUUGCUGUUAAAGAAAUAGAAAAUUAAAGAACUACAAAAGAAAUAAUCGGUAGCCUCAAUGUGAUUCUGCAGAGUGCAAAUGAGACCAGUAUUCCUUUACUAGCUGCCCGA
This 6156-nucleotide long non-coding RNA is filed under the name Citrus x clementina. RNAcentral's name for it is "Citrus clementina (C. clementina) long non-coding RNA (CCLE_LNC000617)". The record is from RNAcentral. Lineage: Eukaryota; Viridiplantae; Streptophyta; Magnoliopsida; Sapindales; Rutaceae.